This 253-nucleotide ribosomal RNA is filed under the name uncultured bacterium. RNAcentral's name for it is "partial 16S ribosomal RNA". It matches the Rfam family "Bacterial small subunit ribosomal RNA", at positions 524 to 776 of the family's 1533-position model. The record is from RNAcentral.
UACGUAGGGUGCGAGCGUUGUCCGGAAUUACUGGGCGUAAAGAGCUCGUAGGUGGUUUGUCGCGUUGUCCGUGAAAACUCACAGCUCAACUGUGGGCGUGCGGGCGAUACGGGCAGACUGGAGUACUGCAGGGGAGACUGGAAUUCCUGGUGUAGCGGUGGAAUGCGCAGAUAUCAGGAGGAACACCAGUGGCGAAGGCGGCAUCCUGGCCAUGUACUGACGCUCAGGGGCGAAAGCGUGGGGAGCAAACCGG